RNAcentral lists this ribosomal RNA (393 nucleotides) under uncultured bacterium. Its description in RNAcentral is "partial 16S ribosomal RNA". It matches the Rfam family "Bacterial small subunit ribosomal RNA", at positions 523 to 918 of the family's 1533-position model. The record is from RNAcentral.
AUACGGAGGGUGCAAGCGUUAUCCAGAUUUAUUGGGUUUAAAGGGUGCGUAGGCGGUUUGAUAAGUCAGCGGUGAAAUAUUUCAGCUUAACUGGAAGGGUGCCGUUGAUACUGUCGAGCUUGAAUUUAGUUGCUGUGGGUGGAAUGUGUGGUGUAGCGGUGAAAUGCAUAGAUAUCACACAGAAUAUCGAUUGCGAAGGCAGCUCACAAAGCUAAUAUUGACGCUGAUGCACGAAAGUGUGGGGAUCAAACAGGAUUAGAUACCCUGGUAGUCCACACUGUAAACGAUGAUAACUCGCUGUCGGCGAUACAUAGUCGGUGGCCAAGCGAAAGCGAUAAGUCAUCCACCUGGGGAGUACGACCGCAAGGUUGAAACUCAAAUGAAUUGGCGGGG